RNAcentral lists this long non-coding RNA (337 nucleotides) under Homo sapiens (human). Its description in RNAcentral is "non-protein coding lnc-FAM110B-12:2". The record is from RNAcentral. Lineage: Eukaryota; Metazoa; Chordata; Mammalia; Primates; Hominidae.
AUGGUGGCCACAAAGAAGAUAACAAAGUCUCUGGAGUUGAUCAACUCUGGUUAUGAAAAAUGGAAAGUACGUACUGGGGUACAAGCACACUCUGAAGAUGAUCAGACAUGGCAAAGCAAAAUUAGUCAUCCCCACUAACAAUUGGCCAGCUUUGAGGAAAUCCAAAAUAGAGAACUAUGCAAUGUUGGCCAAAACUAAUGUCCAUCACUAUAGUGAAAAUAGUAUUGAAUUGGGCACGGCAUGAGAAAAAUACUACAGAUUAUGCACAGUGGCUGUCAUUGAUCUAGAUGAUUCUGAUAUCAUUAGAAGCAUGCCAAAAUAGGCUGGUGAGAAAUAA